GUAGUAGGUAUUUGAAUAAAUAAUACGUAUGUGACACAAUUCAAUUACUUUUGAAGUUAUCCGUAAAGUAGACGGUGCAUUUUUCUUUACAGGCAGGCAGGAUGUUACGGAAAAAGUUGUUAAAUUUGCGGCAUAGGCAGUAUAUUUACUGUAUUUGUGCAAUUGCAACUACGGCCGCCGCAUCUAUUCAUGACUCUUGGUCUUCGACAUUUCUGCCUCAAAUACGGUCUAAAAAUUCGCCAAUAGGUGUUAUACUUAAUACAAUUCAAUCAUCAACUGUUGUAAGUAUGAACGGUGUAGGUGGAACAUUGGGUAGCAUCAUCACUAUUUGGAUAAUGGAUAUUUUUGGAAGGAAAGCCGUUUUAAUUGCAGCAGGCAGUUGUAAUCUAAUUUCUUGGGCGUUGAUGUACUUCGCAAAUGGGAUAGAAAUAUUAUGUAUAUCCAGAAUAUUAGGUGGAAUAGCUAUAGGACUUUCAUUGAA
Molecule: long non-coding RNA, 481 nt
Organism: Agrilus planipennis (emerald ash borer)
Lineage: Eukaryota; Metazoa; Arthropoda; Insecta; Coleoptera; Buprestidae
Exons: 3
Source: RefSeq, a predicted model, not a curated record